This 465-nucleotide ribosomal RNA is filed under the name uncultured bacterium. RNAcentral describes it as "partial 16S ribosomal RNA". It matches the Rfam family "Bacterial small subunit ribosomal RNA", at positions 28 to 507 of the family's 1533-position model. The record is from RNAcentral.
GACGAACGCUGGCGGCGUGCUUAACACAUGCAAGUCGUACGGUAAGGCCCUUUCGGGGGUACACGAGUGGCGAACGGGUGAGUAACACGUGAGUAACCUGCCCACAACUUUGGGAUAACGCUAGGAAACUGGUGCUAAUACUGGAUAUGUGCUCCUGCUGCAUGGUGGGGGUUGGAAAGCUCCGGCGGUUGUGGAUGGACUCGCGGCCUAUCAGCUUGUUGGUGGGGUAGUGGCCUACCAAGGCGGCGACGGGUAGCCGGCCUGAGAGGGUGACCGGCCACAGUGGGACUGAGAUACGGCCCAGACUCCUACGGGAGGCAGCAGUGGGGAAUAUUGCACAAUGGGCGCAAGCCUGAUGCAGCAACGCCGCGGGCGGGAUGACGGCCUUCGGGUUGUAAACCGCUUUCAGCAGGGACGAAGCUUUUUGUGACGGUACCUGCAGAAGAAGCACCGGCUAACUACGUG